UAUGACGGGUAUCCGGCCUGAGAGGGUGAUCGGACACACUGGAACUGAGACACGGUCCAGACUCCUACGGGAGGCAGCAGUAGGGAAUAUUGCUCAAUGGGCGAAAGCCUGAAGCAGCAACGCCGCGUGGAGGAUGAAGGUUUUAGGAUUGUAAACUCCUUUUGUUAGAGAAGAUAAUGACGGUAUCUAACGAAUAAGCACCGGCUAACUCCGUGCCAGCAGCCGCGGUAAUGCGGAGGGUGCAAGCGUUACUCGGAAUCACUGGGCGUAAAGAGCGCGUAGGCGGGAUAGUAAGUCAGGUGUGAAAUCCUAUGGCUUAACCAUAGAACUGCAUUUGAAACUACUAUUCUAGAGUGUGGGAGAGGUAGGUGGAAU
This 375-nucleotide ribosomal RNA is filed under the name uncultured Helicobacter sp. Its description in RNAcentral is "bacterial SSU rRNA". It matches the Rfam family "Bacterial small subunit ribosomal RNA", at positions 275 to 667 of the family's 1533-position model. Lineage: Bacteria; Pseudomonadati; Campylobacterota; Epsilonproteobacteria; Campylobacterales; Helicobacteraceae. The record is from RNAcentral.